GGAAGCUGGAAAGCCAAAGAUCAAAGUUCAGUUUCAGAAGAGAAGGAGCCAUGAAUUAUGGAGACACCUGUCACCUAAUGAAUUGACUAACAAACAAUAAAAUAGGACAAGACGUUAAUAGAUGGUAGGAAGAAGGAGGGGCCUUUGUUAAGUAAGGCAACACAUGUCUUCAGACUUCUCCUGGUCACUCUACCAAUAAAAAGCAUGGGAUUGAUGCAUAUAUAUUA
Herpailurus yagouaroundi (jaguarundi) is the source of this 227-nucleotide long non-coding RNA. RefSeq lists it as uncharacterized. The transcript has 2 exons. The record is from RefSeq and is a predicted model, not a curated record. Lineage: Eukaryota; Metazoa; Chordata; Mammalia; Carnivora; Felidae.